Neofelis nebulosa (Clouded leopard) is the source of this 1284-nucleotide long non-coding RNA. RefSeq lists it as uncharacterized. NCBI's taxonomy places the organism in Eukaryota, Metazoa, Chordata, Mammalia, Carnivora, Felidae. The record is from RefSeq and is a predicted model, not a curated record. The transcript is spliced from 3 exons.
UUUAGAUCCUUCGCGGGAGGACAGUCUUCCGCGUCGCUGGGGAAGGGCAGGUGGAGUGACAGUGAGGCAAGAGCUUGCGACCACAGCUGCCAUUUUAUUUUGGGCAGUUUGUCUUACUUCGUCUGUAGUGGCUGAUGGUGAAUAAAAGCAAGCAGACCCACCUCAUCCUUAUCCGUGAGAUGUGACUCAGGUACCCUUUUCUACACUGUCCCCCUCAUGCUUCAAAUAGCCUUCCCUGCCCCUCUAAGUGGCCAACUUGUAAUGGAACCCUCGCCAGGCAGGUGAACCGGACUGCACCGCUGUCCGCUGUCGCACCGGGAAAGGACUGUGGGAGAACAGCGGAGGCACAUCCAUUUCUGAGCAGCUGGCAGCACCACGUGGAGCCCAAGGCCCUGUGUAAACACAGCAACCCAGGAAGAGGGCUCGAUGCCCCUUCCUCUACCGGCCACCAAGCUCUUGCACUGUAAUGACUACUGUUGUCCAGGUUGGCAACAUUUUACAUUUCAGCAUCUCACAAAGUUGAUAAGUAAUUAUCUACACAUCACAGUUCUCCAUUAACAGAAGACAACCAUAAAGGGAGGUGGUGACGUGCCCUGUCAUUGAUUACAAAGCAGCUCUGAAGCAAGACAAAGCGUGGGACGCUGGACUUCAAGUUCUCACUGUGUUACCACCCUAAACGAACUUGAAAUUAGCGGAAGGAAUUGGAGCGAGCAAAAUCUCUGUAUGAGGCUGCACGAACGCAGGUGAUGUGGCAGAGGUGAUGGCGGUACAGAGGAAGAGGACACAUGCGCCUUGACUCCGACGGGAAAACCAACAAGACCCAGAACAGAAAGUGGAGUAAUAAAGGCUUUCGGAAGAUAAAUAUAUAUUUUUCCUACUUACUGCUAGGCCAAUGGGAAGGUGAAUUUGUACAACCUUUUCUUAAAUACAAUUUGAAAGUAUCUACCCAAAGUCUUAGCAUUUUACAUAGCUUUUGAUCUCUGCAAUUCCCUUUAAGGCAAUUAAUCUGGGGCUAAUAAUUACAAAUGUUUAGAAGACACACACAUGCACACACACGCGCAUUUAUGAGGUUGUCCGUCACCAGACUGUUUUUAAACGUGAAUAAUUGGAAAGAAUGAUCAAAAUUGAGUUGAUGACAUACAUUUUAAGGGCAGGACUCCACUGGAAUACUUAAAGUGAGGAAAUGUGGAGUCUGCCAGUCCUGUGCAAGCCGCUAAGUGUGUGACCUGGGUAAGUUACCUAACCUACCUAACCUCUCCGAACCUCGGUUUUCUUGGCUAUACA